UAUGAAAAAAAUAAAAUAUUGUAAUCAUUAUUAGCAUUCAGCAUUUUGUCUCUGGAAUGCAUGCAACCUGCGACCAAACGUCGCAUGCAUGGUGCCUCUUUAAAUGCACGGCUUUCCCUUUAUAUUUUAUCAUGAAAUCAGGAUGAUAAUAAAGAAAUAAAAAAGUCUGUGCGAUGAAAAUGUUUCAAAGUUGGGCAGAUAAAUCUACUGCUGAAAACUGAGCACCUUGAUUAAACUGCAGUGGUGGUUUGUUCUGGAUGGUGGGGAAGAAUUUUACCAAAAAUGCAUCAAAUCUUCCUUCUCAAUGAGUGGAGACUAAAGGCCAUGGCUGUGGUGUGUAAUUACUCUGUGGCUGUAUGCGAGGCUGUUUUUGCACUGAGCGUGUGUGGAGAGCUGAUCCUAAAAACUGCACUUGUUCUAAUCCACAUCCUGGCUACCUGCCUCUCAGUCCUGCUGAAGCUCAACACGCUUCUCAAGGUGACACUUGCAGGUGUGAUCUUUUCACGAGGGGACUCGGAUCAGAGGGACUGCGCCAACUGCUCCACCUGGCCUUCAGCGGAGAACUCAGACAGCUGCUCCCUCCUGUGCAGAAAAAAAAGAGCCAUUCAGCGGCUGCAGUCACUUAAGACGGCGCUGCACGUCUUACCAGCUAUUUACCAACAUUUGCUGCAUGUUUCAGUGACCAUCCUGCCUGUUCUCCAUGUGGCUCUGCCAGUCCUGUUCAACAACAUCAGGCCCUUCUUCUCCACCAUUUUGGCUUUACUGGAUUACAGUGGAACCCCAUCAGUCUUCCACAUACUAGGACUUAUGUGCAACAUGAGAGCCAAAACAGCCAAAAGUGCAUUCCAACUUUAAAUAGUUAUCUACUUUAAAAACUUUUAACUUAAUAAAGCCUUUUAACUUCUUUUA
Molecule: non-coding RNA, 909 nt
Organism: Oryzias latipes (Japanese medaka)
Lineage: Eukaryota; Metazoa; Chordata; Actinopteri; Beloniformes; Adrianichthyidae
Source: RefSeq, a predicted model, not a curated record